Molecule: ribosomal RNA, 305 nt
Filed under: uncultured bacterium
Lineage: Bacteria
Description: bacterial SSU rRNA
Rfam family: Bacterial small subunit ribosomal RNA
Source: RNAcentral
GUCCCUACGGGACGCAGCAGUGGGGAAUAUUGCGCAAUGGGCGAAAGCCUGACGCAGCGACGCCGCGUGAGGGAUGAAGGUCUUCGGAUCGUAAACCUCUGUCAGCAGGGAAGAACAGUCACUGUGCUAAUCAGCAGUGAAUUGACGGUACCUGGGGAGGAAGCUCCGGCUAACUACGUGCCAGCAGCCGCGGUAAUACGUAGGGAGCGAGCGUUGUCCGGAAUUACUGGGUGUAAAGGGAGCGUAGGCGGGGAUGCAAGUUGGGUGUCAAAACUACCGGCUCAACUGGGAGUCGCACUCAAAAA